RNAcentral lists this ribosomal RNA (445 nucleotides) under Salmonella enterica subsp. enterica serovar Bredeney. RNAcentral describes it as "bacterial SSU rRNA". It matches the Rfam family "Bacterial small subunit ribosomal RNA", at positions 27 to 468 of the family's 1533-position model. Lineage: Bacteria; Pseudomonadati; Pseudomonadota; Gammaproteobacteria; Enterobacterales; Enterobacteriaceae. The record is from RNAcentral.
GAUUGAACGCUGGCGGCAGGCCUAACACAUGCAAGUCGAACGGUAACAGGAAGCAGCUUGCUGCUUUGCUGACGAGUGGCGGACGGGUGAGUAAUGUCUGGGAAACUGCCUGAUGGAGGGGGAUAACUACUGGAAACGGUGGCUAAUACCGCAUAAYGUCGCAAGACCAAAGAGGGGGACCUUCGGGCCUCUUGCCAUCAGAUGUGCCCAGAUGGGAUUAGCUUGUUGGUGAGGUAACGGCUCACCAAGGCGACGAUCCCUAGCUGGUCUGAGAGGAUGACCAGCCACACUGGAACUGAGACACGGUCCAGACUCCUACGGGAGGCAGCAGUGGGGAAUAUUGCACAAUGGGCGCAAGCCUGAUGCAGCCAUGCCGCGUGUAUGAAGAAGGCCUUCGGGUUGUAAAGUACUUUCAGCGGGGAGGAAGGUGUUGUGGUUAAUAACC